This 497-nucleotide ribosomal RNA is filed under the name uncultured bacterium. RNAcentral's name for it is "partial 16S ribosomal RNA". It matches the Rfam family "Bacterial small subunit ribosomal RNA", at positions 28 to 507 of the family's 1533-position model. The record is from RNAcentral.
GAUGAGCGCUGGCGGCGUGCCUAAUACAUGCAAGUCGAGCGAACGGACGAGAAGCUUGCUUCUCUGAUGUUAGCGGCGGACGGGUGAGUAACACGUGGAUAACCUACCUAUAAGACUGGGAUAACUUCGGGAAACCGGAGCUAAUACCGGAUAAUAUUUUGAACCGCAUGGUUCAAAAGUGAAAGACGGUCUUGCUGUCACUUAUAGAUGGAUCCGCGCUGCAUUAGCUAGUUGGUAAGGUAACGGCUUACCAAGGCAACGAUGCAUAGCCGACCUGAGAGGGUGAUCGGCCACACUGGAACUGAGACACGGUCCAGACUCCUACGGGAGGCAGCAGUAGGGAAUCUUCCGCAAUGGGCGAAAGCCUGACGGAGCAACGCCGCGUGAGUGAUGAAGGUCUUCGGAUCGUAAAACUCUGUUAUUAGGGAAGAACAUGUGUGUAAGUAACUGUGCACAUCUUGACGGUACCUAAUCAGAAAGCCACGGCUAACUACGUG